CUUCGCUUCUGGAAGAUUUAAUGGGGAAUUAUUUAGAGUAAUAAUUUCACUAGAUGAUGCUUCUGCUUCUGAGAGGAGCUGCUUUAAUUGAGAUUGUUGGCAGACAAUUCGACCGUUGUUCCACCCAGGAAACAAGAAGGAUGACGACACAUUAUCCUGCAGGAAUGAAUAGACUGCCCUUGCGAUAGGCAAGUUUUGUGCGGUUGAG
RNAcentral lists this unclassified non-coding RNA (208 nucleotides) under Hevea brasiliensis (rubber tree). Lineage: Eukaryota; Viridiplantae; Streptophyta; Magnoliopsida; Malpighiales; Euphorbiaceae. The record is from RNAcentral.